Molecule: ribosomal RNA, 468 nt
Filed under: uncultured bacterium
Lineage: Bacteria
Description: partial 16S ribosomal RNA
Rfam family: Bacterial small subunit ribosomal RNA
Source: RNAcentral
GGGGGGGGGGGGGGGGGGGGGGGGGGGGUGCGGGUCGGGCGGGGGGGCCGUGCGUGUGUGGGGUGCUCGAGUGGCGAAGGGGUGAGUAGCGCGUGAGUACCCUGCCCUUGGCUUUGGGAUAACUUCAGGAAACUGGGGCUAAUACCGGAUAGGAGCUCCUGCUGCAUGGUGGGGGUUGGAAAGUUUCGGCGGUUGGGGCUGGACUCGCGGCUGAUCAGCUUGUUGGUGGGGUAGUGGCUUACCAAGGCUUUGACGGGUAGCCGGCCUGAGAGGGUGACCGGCCACAUUGGGACUGAGAUACGGCCCAGACUCCUACGGGAGGCAGCAGUGGGGAAUAUUGCACAAUGGGCGGAAGCCUGAUGCAGCAACGCCGCGUGCGGGAUGACGGCCUUCGGGUUGUAAACCGCUUUCGCCUGUGACGAAGCGUGAGUGACGGUAAUGAGUAAAGAAGCACCGGCUAACUACGUG